GAUCACACCUGUUUUGCCUUGAGCUCUCAUUUUCUGGCUUCACUUUGCCCCGAGGCUUGCACGCCAAACUUGUCUCAGAAUUAGAAUUAGAUUUAAGCAGGCCACGCUUUCUGUCUACCAAAUUAUUCGUCAGUUAUUUUUCACCAAACGGAAUACGUAAAAUAUAGAACAUCCUUUUUGUAAAUUACAAUUUAUUCUGGACCUUAUUCAUUCUACACAAAGAUUUGAGGCUGACCACGUUCUUUGACGAAAUUAAUCAUUACUCCAGUCGUUACAAUGACAGAAGACAAUCUGAGUGUACUCAUUCUCCGAUCACCUUUUAAGAAGGACACAGCUGUAGUUAGUCGGCCCUAAUGGACUGAAUUAAUAGGUGCCAAGGACAAAAAGGGGGACAUGGAAUUCCCUAAUAAUAAAAUAAAUACACAUUUUAGAGAGGUCAUUUCAAAUUCGAUCUUCAUUUGUGCCCUUUCGUGGUUCUUCGGUGUUCUAUUCAAAGCGGUGUGCAUUCAAAGCAAUGAAUAAAGUUUACGACUAUAAAAAACUA
This is a long non-coding RNA of Drosophila yakuba, 544 nucleotides long. RefSeq lists it as uncharacterized. NCBI's taxonomy places the organism in Eukaryota, Metazoa, Arthropoda, Insecta, Diptera, Drosophilidae. The record is from RefSeq and is a predicted model, not a curated record. The transcript has 2 exons.